CACGUAGGGUGCAAGCGUUGUCCGGAAUUAUUGGGCGUAAAGGGCUCGUAGGCGGUCCGUCACGUCGGGAGUGAAAACUCGGGGCUCAACCCCCGAGCCUGCUUUCGAUACGGGCGGACUAGAGGUAGGUAGGGGAGAACGGAAUUCCUGGUGUAGCGGUGGAAUGCGCAGAUAUCAGGAGGAACACCGGUGGCGAAGGCGGUUCUCUGGGACGGUACUGACGCUGAGACGCGAAAGCGUGGGGAGCGAACAGG
Molecule: ribosomal RNA, 254 nt
Filed under: uncultured bacterium
Lineage: Bacteria
Description: partial 16S ribosomal RNA
Rfam family: Bacterial small subunit ribosomal RNA
Source: RNAcentral